RNAcentral lists this unclassified non-coding RNA (1924 nucleotides) under Limnonectes malesianus (Malaysian peat frog). RNAcentral's name for it is "partial contains tRNA-Phe, 12S ribosomal RNA, tRNA-Val, and 16S ribosomal RNA". The stretch from base 1 to 509 matches the Rfam family "Bacterial small subunit ribosomal RNA", at positions 781 to 1533 of the family's 1533-position model. Lineage: Eukaryota; Metazoa; Chordata; Amphibia; Anura; Dicroglossidae. The record is from RNAcentral.
GAUACCCCAGUAUGCCUCACCGUAAAAUAUUAACUCACAUCACGAAACGCCAGGGUAUUACGAGCAAAGCUUAAAACCCAAAGGACUUGACGGUGUCCUAUCCAACUAGAGGAGCCUGUUUUAUAAUCGAUGAUCCCCGAUCUACCUAACCCUAUCUUGCCACUCAGUUUGUAUACCUCCGUCGCAAGCUUACCAUAUGAAUGCUAACAGUAAGCACAAUGGUCUCUCACCAAUACGUCAGGUCAAGGUGCAGCCCAUGAUAGGGUAAAUUAUGGGCUACAAUUUCUAAUAUAGAACAUACGGAAUGCUGCAUGAAACACAGUAUGAAGGCGGAUUUAGUAGUAAAAAGAAAGAAUUGUGUUCUUUUUAAUAAGGCUCUAGAACGUGUACACACCGCCCGUCACCCUCUUCAACAGUUCUAGAGACGUUUUUAACACCUCUGCACGCCUAGAAGAGGCAAGUCGUAACAUGGUAAGUGUACCGGAAGGUGCACUUGGAACAACAAAACAUAGCUUAAAUAAAGUCUCUUGCUUACACCAAGACAACAUUCGUUCAAACCGAAUUGUUUUGAGCCUAAAAUGUAGCCUAUCUUUUAGUCUUAUGCGUACCAUAACUAACACUUUUCUGAUAAAACAUUUUACUGGUUCAGUACAGGUGAUCAAAAAACUUAUUAGCGCUCCAUCAUAAGUACCGCAAGGGAAGAAUGAAAUAGCUAUGAAACAGGCCUAAAGCACAACACAGCAGAGCUUACCUCUUGUACCUUUUGCAUCAUGGUUUAGCCAGUCCUCAUCAAGCAAAGUGAAACCACAGCUUGCCCCCCCGAAACUAGACGAGCUACUUUAAAACAGCUUCAUAGAGCCAACCCGUCUCUGUUGCAAAAGAGUGGGACGAUUUUAAAGUAGAAGUGAAAAGCCUACCGAGUCUAGAGAUAGCUGGUUACUUAAAAAAAGAAUCUUAGUUCAACUUCAAGCCCCCCCAUAUUACAACAACAAAAAGUCUGGGCUUGAAAGCCAGUCAAAUAAGGCACAGCUUAUUUGACAAAGGAUACAGCCUAAAAAAAAGGGUAAAAACCAAAUAUAUAGACUAAGUGGGCCUAACAGCAGCCACCUUCCAAAUAGCGUUAAAGCUUCCUCUUGAUUACUUCUUAAUUUCGACAAAUACCUUAAACCCUUUAUCAUUAUUAAGUAAUUUUAUAAAAAUAUAAAAGUCUUCAUGCUAGAACUAGUAACAAGAAAUUGAAUUUCUCCUAAAUAUAAGCAUAAACCAAAAUGGACCAACCAUUGGUAAUUAACGUUUAUUAGCCUAUUAUAACAACACCUCAAGAAAAUACUAUAAUUGUACACGUUAACCUUACACAAGCAUAUUCUAGGAAAGAUUAAAAGAAUGGGAAGGAACUCGGCAAACUUUAACCCCGCCUGUUUACCAAAAACAUCGCCUCUUGAUUAAAUAUAAGAGGUCCAGCCUGCCCAGUGAAUUACUUAAACGGCCGCGGAACCAUAACCGUGCAAAGGUAGCAUAAUCAUUUGUCCUUUAAAUAGGGACUCGUAUCAACGGCAUCACGAGGGUUAUACUGUCUCCCCCCUCUAAUCAGUGAAACUGACCUCCCCGUGAAGAGGCGGGGAUUGUUAUACUAGACGAGAAGACCCCAUGGAGCUUUAAACCCAAUAAUAUUCUCAUCAAUAGCACUUCAUCAAAGUUAUAAAAGUUUUAUCUAUUGGUUUUAGGUUGGGGUGACCACGGAGUAAAACAAACCCUCCUUGACGAACAGGCCUUAGCCUAAUCCAAGAGUCACUACUCUAAGAAUCAAAAAUUUGACGUAAAAUGAUCCCCAAGCCGAUCAACGAACCAAGUUACCCUGGGGAUAACAGCGCAAUCCAUUUCGAGAGCCCCUAUCGACAAAUGGGUUUACGACCUCGAUGUUGGA